Molecule: non-coding RNA, 1202 nt
Organism: Gasterosteus aculeatus aculeatus (three-spined stickleback)
Lineage: Eukaryota; Metazoa; Chordata; Actinopteri; Perciformes; Gasterosteidae
Source: RefSeq, a predicted model, not a curated record
CCCCCCCCCCCCCGGGUGCCUCAGGGUUCGGACGGAGUAAGGUGUUUUCUUGUGUCAGCGCUGUGAACCAAUGUUGCGGAGCCGGUGCUCCAUGGCAACAGGCCCCUCCCCCCCUGUUCACAAUGCAUUCAACAGGAGAGGUCCUCCCUGCACUGAGACCCUGAUGGUUACUAAAAGUCAAUCCACGGCAACCUCCCAGUCUGAAUACAUCAUUACAUCGCUGUCGGAAAAGCGCAGUCCUCGGCGCUGCUGCGACAGGAUGUUCUGUUUGCAUCGGCAGCGGCUUCGUGAAAACGGGGGGGACUCCCUCGUGCCCGUGAAGGGUCAUCGCAACCCGACACACGGGCGCGGCGGACUCCACCGCAAACGAGGAAAGUCGCCGCGCCGAGCAGGAACAACAAAGUGUUGGGGGCUUUUUUAAAACCUGCUGCCACUAUUAGAAAGCGCUCCUCGGCCCAGCAGUGAACCCGCUGUCGUCCACGUCCCGCAGCGAGCGCUCUCCUCAUCCUCGAUGUGCCGCCACGAGCUCAUCGGGAUGCAGAGAGGUCGCCCAGAUGACUGGGCUGCAUACGCACAGUGUCUGCAUGACCUGCAUACAAAACAUUAAUUUUCCGAUUUAAUUAAAGCUGGUGCGCGCGCGCCGCAAGUGUCUUUUUGGGUGGUUGGGGUGGGUGGAUGAGGGCGGUGUUAACCGUUAGGGCCGCGUAGGCAGCGUGUUUGUUUGGGUGUUAUCAGUGAGAAGACACGCGACGAUUCCCCGCUGUGGCACAGAUCCGACUAGCUGACCCCCCCGCUGGGUUUGUUCAUUAAAAGGACGAUUUCCUGCUCGUUAUUUAUAUUGCUCAUGAUGUAAAUAUGCAACAGCAAAAAGUACGAGUGGCAAUUUGUUUUAACGAGCCGGCUCUUGAGUGUUUCCAGUUAUCAUUUCACAGACCCAGCAGAAAAAAAAAAAAAAAAAAGAUUUUUUUUUUCUUCAGGUUCCGGGUGACAAAGUGUGAAAAGCCGACCAGGGAGAGGCGCUCGAUGCUGAUUACAGACUCCAACGGCAGCGUGCCGUCCACGCCUACCACGGCAACGGCGCCCGAGAGCCGGACGACGUCAGAGUCCCAGCAGGAGCAGACGGAGAACUUGGCUGAAGAUAAAAGAUAGCGAUCCGCAGGGUCCAGAGGCGAGAAGACGAACAUCUGGACAAAACUCAAAAA